GUGGCACUUCUUCACAUCACUCCUCAUGCUUCCUAUAUAGCAAAGGUCAAAUGAUCCACACCUGGCAGAUUUCACUUAACAAGGGUGGAGCCAAGAGACCUUGUGGAAUAGGCUCAUCUACCUGGCUUCAAAGUUUUAAGGCUGAUUGCUCCUUAUCACUAGUAGAAAUAACC
Oxyura jamaicensis (ruddy duck) is the source of this 173-nucleotide long non-coding RNA. RefSeq lists it as uncharacterized. The record is from RefSeq and is a predicted model, not a curated record. Lineage: Eukaryota; Metazoa; Chordata; Aves; Anseriformes; Anatidae. The transcript has 3 exons.